UUGUCUCAAAGAUAAAGCCAUGCAUGUCUCAGUACAAGCCAAAUUAAGGUGAAACCGCGAAAGGCUCAUUAAAUCAGUUAUGGUUCCUUAGAUCGUACCCACAUUUACUUGGAUAACUGUGGUAAUUCUAGAGCUAAUACAUGCAAACAGAGUUCCAACCGGAGACGGAAGGAAUGCUUUUAUUAGAUCAAAACCAAUCGGCGGCGGUCGCUUGCGAUCGUUCGCCGGCACACUUGGUGACUCUGAAUAACUUUAUGCUGAUCGCACGGUCUUGCACCGGCGACGCAUCUUUCAAAUGUCUGCCUUAUCAACUGUCGAUGGUAGGUUCUGCGCCUACCAUGGUUGUAACGGGUAACGGGGAAUCAGGGUUCGAUUCCGGAGAGGGAGCCUGAGAAACGGCUACCACAUCCAAGGAAGGCAGGAGGGCGCAAAUUACCCACUCCCGGCACGGGGAGGUAGUGACGAAAAAUAACGAUACGGGACUCAUCCGAGGCCCCGUAAUCGGAAUGAGUACACUUUAAAUCCUUUAACGAGGAUCAAUUGGAGGGCAAGUCUGGUGCCAGCAGCCGCGGUAAUUCCAGCUCCAAUAGCGUAUAUUAAAGUUGUUGCGGUUAAAAAGCUCGUAGUUGAAUCUGUGUCCCGUGCUGUCGGUUCACCGCCCGCGGUGUUAAACUGGCACGUUCACGGGACGUCCUGCCGGUGGAUUGGCUAUUGUAUUAUGCUAUUGUUUUCUGUUGCCAUGCGCAUUUGCAUUAUAUAAAUACGUUAAUAGCGUUUUAUGUGUGUAUAUUGUGUAUGUGUUUUCAGUUAAUAGUACAUUUUGCAGUACCAUCCGACUUUUAAUCCUGUCGCGGUGCUCUUAAUUGAGUGUCGAGGCGGGCCGGCACGUUUACUUUGAACAAAUUAGAGUGCUCAAAGCAGGCUAAAAUUUCGCCUGAAUAUUGUGUGCAUGGAAUAAUGGAACAGGACCUCGGUUCUAUUUUGUUGGUUUUCGGAACCCCGAGGUAAUGAUUAAUAGGGACAGAUGGGGGCAUUCGUAUUGCGACGUUAGAGGUGAAAUUCUUGGAUCGUCGCAAGACGGACAGAAGCGAAAGCAUUUGCCAAAAAUGUUUUCAUUAAUCUAGAACGAAAGUCAGAGGUUCGAAGGCGAUCAGAUACCGCCCUAGUUCUGACCAUAAACGAUGCCAGCUAGCGAUCCGCCGACGUUCCUCCGAUGACUCGGCGGGCAGCUUCCGGGAAACCAAAGCUUUUGGGUUCCGGGGGAAGUAUGGUUGCAAAGCUGAAACUUAAAGGAAUUGACGGAAGGGCACCACCAGGAGUGGAGCCUGCGGCUUAAUUUGACUCAACACGGGAAACCUCACCAGGCCCAGACACCGGAAGGAUUGACAGAUUGAGAGCUCUUUCUUGAUUCGGUGGGUGGUGGUGCAUGGCCGUUCUUAGUUGGUGGAGCGAUUUGUCUGGUUAAUUCCGAUAACGAACGAGACUCUAGCCUGCUAACUAGGCGUACUUUACCGGUAUCUCGAAGGCUCACAGCUCCCUUAUCGGUGUGUGCUGCACGUUAUUGUCAUUCUUGCAUUUCGGUGUUAAGUUAUGUACUUUAGCGUGUUUGUACAUUUCCGUUUGUGGAGUUUGUGGUUUUUACUACCGGCGUACAAUUGAAUCUUCUUAGAGGGACAGGCGGCUCCUAGCCGCAUGAGAUUGAGCAAUAACAGGUCUGUAAUGCCCUUAGAUGUUCUGGGCCGCACGCGCGCUACACUGAAGGAAUCAGCGUGUCUUCCCUGGCCGAACGGUCCGGGUAACCCGCUGAACCUCCUUCGUGCUAGGGAUUGGGGCUUGCAAUUGUCCCCCAUGAACGAGGAAUUCCCAGUAAGCGCGAGUCAUAAGCUCGCGUUGAUUACGUCCCUGCCCUUUGUACACACCGCCCGUCGCUACUACCGAUUGAAUGAUUUAGUGAGGUCUUCAGACCGGUACGCGAUGACGUUUCGACGUUAUCGAUGUCGCUGGGAAGAUGACCAAACUUGAUCAUUUAGAGGAAGUAA
RNAcentral lists this ribosomal RNA (2039 nucleotides) under Trachypachus holmbergi. Its description in RNAcentral is "SSU rRNA". It matches the Rfam family "Eukaryotic small subunit ribosomal RNA". The record is from RNAcentral. Lineage: Eukaryota; Metazoa; Arthropoda; Insecta; Coleoptera; Trachypachidae.